This is a long non-coding RNA of Armigeres subalbatus, 1303 nucleotides long. RefSeq lists it as uncharacterized. The record is from RefSeq and is a predicted model, not a curated record. NCBI's taxonomy places the organism in Eukaryota, Metazoa, Arthropoda, Insecta, Diptera, Culicidae. The transcript has 3 exons.
UAAUAACCGGGACAUCGGAGUCCCGAAGAACCGAUUUAAAAUUCAUGCAACCCAGAUGAGCUCACGAGACCAGCACCGCCAGAGGCGCUAGUGUAUUUAACUCACAUUUUGCUACGUCAAGGCCUGUUGCUGAUUUGAGCUUCUAUUAUUUUGUUGGAUUUUGACGAUUUGCGUCGGAAAUACAAGAGCUCUACUUCAACACCGGAACAAGCCAUUUUACCAGUGCAGUGCGCACAUAUUUCUAAAGCAAGUGUCGUCAUUAACCAGUUAACCAGUACCAACAAAAUCGCGUCCCGUGGACUACCGUGUGAAAGUAUUCACUCGCAACAAGACAGUCAUCUAAGCAUCGAAAAAUGUAUGACCAAAAGUUGCAGCAAGGCUGGCAAAAAUGCCAAUCCAAACGGAAGUGCAAACCAUAGAGAUAACCCGGAAAACUCGCCGGAUAACGAAGCACCACUGCCAAAGUUUCAUCGAUCAGGUUAGUUAAGAUGGCAUCGGCCACCGCACUCGAGCCGUACUACAGUUCCGAAAUAUGCUGGAGAUAGUACUGAUCUCCGAUUCGACAACGGACAAACGUGAACAGGAAACUUUCCUUGCCGAAAAUCACAUGAGUUGACCCACAAGCAUCCGAUGGCUCGGAACCAAUGUUGAGCGUCAAUGUGUCACCAGCAAGGGGCUAUCUUAAGUCGAAACUCACAUCACUUGACAUUCAAUUUUCGGUCGCCUGAUGUGACUCCAUACAGCGUUCAAGGAUGCAAAGUAAAAUGACUAAUGGCACAUUAGUAACUUGACAGCACAGGCCAUUCUUCAGGGUGCACCGGAUGUUACCAGUAUACACAUCUACUCCUGCGAAUGGUGGUACCGGUAGAUUAUACGACUGGCGGUCACAUUUCGAUGGUCGAUGUCAUGCGCAACAUCUAUGAUUUGGCCAUCAACCUGUACGGAAGUCAGAUAGCCAUUGUAGAGAACCAGGAUGGAAGUGCAGGAAUCGGUUGUGCGAAUUUACAGCGUUGGCCAGAAGAAGAACACCGAAGAUGACGCAGAGGAGGAAAAAGAAGAGAUGAAGAACUCAGAGUAUUGGUCGAUUUAUUUAAAUGCAGCAUUUCCCAACCUGGAUUAGAACAACUUUAUUAAAUGCUAUUAUUUCCGAGAUUAUUUCGGAAGAAAAGGCUCAAGGAAGAAAACAGUAAUUCAUUUGUGCUAUCAAAUAAUAUUUUAUAGAACUCUAACAUGUCGGAUGUCGGUACUUGAACAAAUUAGAUAAAAUAAAUAAGCAAAGGCCAAUUUAGCCAAAUAAGACAAA